Molecule: ribosomal RNA, 495 nt
Filed under: Nymphon sp. 2 ARM-2007
Lineage: Eukaryota; Metazoa; Arthropoda; Pycnogonida; Pantopoda; Nymphonidae
Description: partial 16S ribosomal RNA
Rfam family: Bacterial large subunit ribosomal RNA
Source: RNAcentral
CAAAAACAUAGCUUUUUAUAUUUAAUAAAAAGUAGGGUCUGCCCAGUGAGUAAUUUUAACGGCCGCAAUAUUUGUGCGAAGGUAGCAUAAUCAUUUGUCUUUUAAUUGAUGACUGGAAUGAAUGGCUGGACGGGGAUAAGCUGUCUUAUGUAUAUAUAUUUGAAAUUUACUUUUAAGUAAAAAGGCUUAAAUAUUUUAGAGGGACGAGAAGACCCUAUUGAGUUUAAUAGAAUUUAUUUAAAUUUUUCUUAAAUUUUUAUGUAAUCUAUUUAGUUGGGGAGAUUUGAUAUUAUUAACUAUAUAAGAAUUAAUAGACUUUAAGUUUUUAGGCUCCAUAAUUUAUGAUAAAUAAGGUAAAUUACCUUAGGGAUAACAGCGUAAUAUUUUUUUAGAGUUCAAAUCGAUUAAAAUGAUUACGACCUCGAUGUUGGAUUAAAGAACCUAAUUUGGAGAAGAAGCUAAUUUAGGUAGUCUGUUCGACUAUUAAAUCUUUAC